RNAcentral lists this ribosomal RNA (253 nucleotides) under uncultured bacterium. Its description in RNAcentral is "partial 16S ribosomal RNA". It matches the Rfam family "Bacterial small subunit ribosomal RNA", at positions 524 to 776 of the family's 1533-position model. The record is from RNAcentral.
UACGAAGGGUGCAAACGUUGCUCGGAAUUAUCGGGCGUAAAGCGCACGUAGGCGGCUUUGCAAGUCCCAUGUGAAAUCCCACGGCUCAACCGUGGAAGUGCAUGGGAAACUGCAGAGCUUGAGUACUUAAGAGGAUCGCGGAAUUCCCGGUGUAGAGGUGAAAUUCGUAGAUAUCGGGAGGAACACCAGUGGCGAAGGCGGCGAUCUGGGAAGAUACUGACGCUGAGGUGCGAAAGCGUGGGGAGCAAACAGG